RNAcentral lists this ribosomal RNA (492 nucleotides) under uncultured bacterium. Its description in RNAcentral is "partial 16S ribosomal RNA". It matches the Rfam family "Bacterial small subunit ribosomal RNA", at positions 29 to 507 of the family's 1533-position model. The record is from RNAcentral.
AGUGAACGCUGGCGGUAGGCCUAACACAUGCAAGUCGAACGGCAGCACAGUAAGAGCUUGCUCUUACGGGUGGCGAGUGGCGGACGGGUGAGGAAUACAUCGGAAUCUACUUUUUCGUGGGGGAUAACGUAGGGAAACUUACGCUAAUACCGCAUACGACCUACGGGUGAAAGCAGGGGAUCUUCGGACCUUGCGCGAUUGAAUGAGCCGAUGUCGGAUUAGCUAGUUGGCGGGGUAAAGGCCCACCAAGGCGACGAUCCGUAGCUGGUCUGAGAGGAUGAUCAGCCACACUGGAACUGAGACACGGUCCAGACUCCUACGGGAGGCAGCGGUGGGGAAUAUUGGACAAAGGGCGCAAGCCUGAUCCAGCCAUACCGCGUGGGUGAAGAAGGCCUUCGGGUUGUAAAGCCCUCUUGUUGGGAAAGAAAAGCAGCAGGUUAAUACCCCGCUGUUCUGACGGUACCCAAAGAAUAAGCACCGGCUAACUUCGUG